This is a long non-coding RNA of Bos taurus (domestic cattle), 374 nucleotides long. The record is from Ensembl. Lineage: Eukaryota; Metazoa; Chordata; Mammalia; Artiodactyla; Bovidae.
UGGAAAAGUAAGUUGGGCCACUAACCGGCUGGGCAGCAUGGCUCUCUUCCCCCCAGGAGCUGACCGGCCGCGGACUCCAAGGGAGGACAUUGGCUUUUGUUUCAAAACGGAGCCCAGCUGCUGACUAAGAGCUGCGUUAGCCCAGCCUCCUCCUCCCCUGGGCGUUGCACGUGCUGCCCGGCUCGACUCUGGGUUACCUUCCUCUGUGACUUGGCUCGUGGGGUCCCUGCAAGGGACGUAAGGACGCACCGGCUGCCCCCGACCCGAGCUGUGAGCUCUGAGGACGGACCAGAGGCAGUUUUCAUGCAUGCACAUAAAAGAUGUCUGUUUCCUACAGAAUGUCAGUGUGGAUUUGCUUCCAGAAAGCAGCUGCU